Molecule: ribosomal RNA, 6147 nt
Filed under: Triticum aestivum (bread wheat)
Lineage: Eukaryota; Viridiplantae; Streptophyta; Magnoliopsida; Poales; Poaceae
Description: partial small subunit ribosomal RNA
Source: RNAcentral
GCACAGGCCAUUCCUUGGCCAACCGCGGUCCGGCCGAGGGGGAGGGCGCGGCCGAUAUUUUGCGCGGGUCCACGCGGGAGAGGAGGGGCGCGAGGCCGGGGCAGAGAGGAGGCUGGAAAGAGCAAGCACUGCACGGCGCGGAGGAGCGCAAACUCGCUGACAAAGGAAGGGGAAGGUUAAAGAGAAAAGGAGCACUGCUAAGCAGCGCAGACUAAAAUAAAGUAAGUGGGCGGCAGCGGCAACGGAACUACACGAGCGUCCCCUAAGCUUAAGCUGCUGAACAGAGAGGAGGCGAAGGCACGCUCAAGCCCUUCGCUAGCUAGCCCCCUAAGUAGGCAAACCAAACGCUCAGAUAGAGUCUUAGACAAAGCGCACAGGCGAAGACAAACGUUGACACCUAGUACACAAAGAGCAGCACAAGCGUAGGCGCGCACGUCCAACUUCCUAGCACGCACCAAAAACCUUAACCCCGAAUUAAUACCUCGGCCUCCGGCUCCGUUCCAGUCAAAGGGCACGAGCAAGUCUAGCGAAGGAACCAAGGCAGUGGACGCAAGCAGGCACUAAGGUCUAAACUUUACUUAUACCGGGCACACUAGAAGACCAAGGGGCUCCCGACACCAAAUAAGGCACAGUAGGCAAUCACGCCCCACACAAUUAAGCUCCGGGAGCACCUCCUAAGAACAACAUGGCCGACUAGAGCCAAAACCAUACAGAAACAGGAGAGUGGGAUACAUCUACGUCUCCUUCGGUCUCCCACGCGAUCAAGAUGUCUCCACCUCCAAACUAGAGAAGAGUACUAAUAAAACUAAGUAACCAACUCCAAGUCGCCGACAGGACUAUACCAGUCUAGAAGAGCCCACUACUUCGAAUCCUAGAGAAUGGUUGGACUUGGACGCUAGGCGCAAAUUAUAAAUAUUUAGGGAGGGUUAAAAUCAAAGAACCAGACGUGUGAUCAGUUGCCGUUAAGACUAGACUUAAGCAACCAAGAGGUCCUUAAUAUUAAACCUAAUGUGUCGUAUCGUCCUCGGCCCUCGUUGUAGACGCAAACCUACUAAUUAACGGGGGAGAUAAAUUAAGGAGGUAGAUGUGUCAAGUUAGAAUCAGCCAAAACUAAAUCUAAACAACUACCAACAGGUCUUCAACCCUAAUAUGCCGAAUCGCCCUCGCUGAACAGUAGAAGGAGUGGACACAAACCUGCUAGUAAGGGAAAGACAAGUAAAAGAAAAGAGGUGUCAAGUCAAUCAGAAGUGUGUUGUGUGUUAAGACUAAACCUAAAACAUAAACAACGACCAUGAGGUCUAUAACCUUAAUAUGCCGAAUCGCCCACCGGGAUAAAAGGGAGCAGUGCCGCCAAGAAGACACCGAGCUGUAAAAGAAUGAGCAGUUAUUAUAUUAACCUUGUAUGGUCUGUUCAAAGAGACGGAAUCAAACAGUAAGAGUCGAGAACGUCUGUGGUAGAACCUUCCCUAUAUUAAACUUAGCCACAACACGACAGAUGGACUGGAAGGGUCGGGUUGAAGGAGUAUAUCGUAAAUGGAGAAGGAGCAAACUUCGUACGAAGUCAACUCGGAUCAAAGGGGGAUUAAAUGUCUCUGCAUAGAACGAGCAACGUCCAAACUGCUUACGUUCAGGUUGGACUACGACUCAACUUAGACAAACGUCAAGAAAGAUUUAGAUUAGUUAAGUAAUAAUGAAUCUAUUGGAAAUUCUAGAAGAGUGAUCCGUUAUAAAACUUAAGUCUAAAUAGAGUUUCCAAGUGCUUACCUCGAAGUUUGAACCGUUUUGGAUGUUUGUUUUUUCUCUGAGGAGGUAAAAAUUGAGAACGGAGAAAAAGAAAUAUAGUGCAUCGAUGAAACAAGUACGGAAACUAAAUCCGAAAAAACGAAGACGGGGACACUAACGUCUAAAUAAAAUCGGGUCUCUCACAACCGUCACUCAGCUUUAGACAAUUUUAGCAAACCAAACGUUAGAUAGAGAUACGCAAAGUUAAACAAUAGACAUGUGAAUAGGACAGCUGACGUCCGGUAUAAAUCCUUCAAACACGAAUACCCGUUUAGAGAAAUGUCACUCAGUCCAGUCACAAGAUAGUUGCCAAACAAACCAAAUCAACACAAGGAGGUGUGUAACCAACGUCCUAACCUAGACCUUACACCUCUAGGGAUACUACAACAUACAGCCUUCCCCUAAACUCGUCCAGUCUAAAUUUACCGAUAGCGGCCACACCAGAAGACCAAGAGUAGUGCGUAGUAGUCGAUUAUACUCCACCUAACCUCCAGGACCAUCUAAGAAUAACAUCGUCGACUAGCGUGAGAACCACACACAAACACGAGGAAACGAACGUCGUCUACGUCCUCACAUCAUCAAGACGUGUCUACUUAGUAUCCCACCUCCAAACCAAAGACAAACAGCAAAACUAACUAACCUAUUACUUCGAAUCCUAAGAACGGUUGGACUUUGAACACUAGACGUAAACCUAUUACUUAAAGUAGAGCUAAGUUAAAUAAACCAGACACGUCAUGUUAAAUCAGGAACCGUCAAGACUUAGGUAAACACCAAAAGGUCUUUAACUCGAAUUGUUCCAAAUCGUCCUCGUUGGAUAGAAGAACAACUAGUCACAAACCUACUAAUACUUGGGGGAUAUAAAUUCAGAGACGUGUUAAGUUGAAAUCAGGGGGUGUCAAACUAAACCUAGACAACGACCAACAGGUUUAUAACCCUAAUAUACCGAAUCGCCCUCACUGGAUAGAAGAACGACUGGACGCAAACCUACUAGUAAUGAGAGACGAAUUAAAGAAGAGUCGAGUUAAUCAACAGGUUGUUAAGACUAAAUCUAAACAACGACCAAGAGGUCUUUAACCUUAAUAUGCCGAAUCGCCCACUAGGAUACAAAGGAGUCGUACCGCCAAGAAAGACACCGGGUUGUAUAGACUGGAAAACAGGAGGGAACUAUUAACUUGAAAGAUCUAUAAACAAAGAAUCGGAAGGAACCAUUAAGAACCGAGAACGUCUACGACCGAACCUUGGCUUUAUUAACCUUGGUCACAACAGAUAGACUGGAAGCACCGGCUCUGUCCGAAUGAAUGGGAAAUGGAGAAUGAAUUGGAAGUGGAGUCGUAAACUACGUACGAAAUCGACUCGGAUCAAAAGGAGGAUAGAAUAUCUUUCCAUAGAAGGAACAACGUCCAGCAUCAACUACUUGAGUUCAGCUUGGACCACGACUCAACUUAGACAAACGUCAAGAAGAUUUAGAUGAUAAAGGAGUUCAGUAGUAUUGAAUCUAUUGGAAAUUUUAGUAGAAUGGUCCUUUAUAAAACUUAUGUCUAGACGUUUCCAAGUUGUUUCCUCUUAGUUUGAUUACCUUGUAGGAUGUUACUUUUUCUGAUAAAAUUGGGUGGAGAAUGAAAAAACAAAGUGCAUCGAUGAACGAACACAGAAAUUAAAUACAAAAAGAAAGAUGGGAGGGAAACCACAAACGUCUAACUCGGGUUUGGUACGACCAACACUCAGCCUUAGACAAUUUAGUAAACCAAACGCCAGAUAGAGAGAAAGACCUACCUAAACAACAAACAUGAGAACUAGGGACACGACCAGAAGACGCACAAUAGUCAACGUCCUAUAUAAAUCCUUCAGACCCGGCGUCCUAUAAAAACCUAUACAACCAAGAGGUCUUUAACCUUAAUAUACCGAAUCGCCUCUCUGUGUAGAACGAGACGAAACGCAAACCUAUUAAUAGUGAGGGAGACAAAACGAGAAAGCAGAGGUGACAAGACAAAACCAAAGGGUGUUAAGAUUAAACUUGAUAAACAACCACCGAGAGGUCUUUAACCUUAUUAUGCGGAAUCUUCCGCCAGGAUAAAACGUAGCACCGUCAAGGAAGAUACCGAUUUUGAAAAGUUGGAAAAAUGAGAUAUUAACUUGAGAGAUCUGGAAUCCAAAAGAAACGGAACCAUUAAGAGUCGAGAACGUCUAUGGCUGAACCUUUCCUUAGACGUCAAACCUUGACCGCAACAACAGCAGGUAGUAGGUAUGGACUGGGAUCUGUCCGAAAAUGAACAAGGGCGAGUAGCAAAAUAGGUACGAAAUCGAUAAAUAUAUAUUCGUCGUAAAGGGGAUUGGUUUUUAAAUAUCUUUUCCGGAGAACGAGCGACGUCCAACAUCAACUUCUUGAGGAAAGGUUGGGCUAAGUAUACGUUUUGUUUAUAUUCCUAUUAGGUCUCGAAAGUUGAUUACCGUGUAGGAUGUUGGCUUCUUCUGAGAAUGGAAGGAUAAAAGAAAUAAAGUAAAUAAUCAAUGAACCGGUAGCGAAACUAUAUCCAAAAACGGGGACGGGAAGGAUACCAACGUCUAACAAGAAAUCGGGUCCGGUACACCCGUCACUGAUCGAGGGGUACCAACAAUAGACAUGAGAACUAGGGACACGAGAGAUCCAGAAGACACUCACACCCAACCGUUCUAUAUUAUCAAUCCUCAAACCCGGGUUUGGCGAGACAUGUACCUCAGUCCAGUCUAAGAACAUCUGUCAGACAAACAAAUUAAACAAUACCAGAGAUGUUAAAUCGAACGUCCUGACCUAGAGCUAGACCAGACCUUUACUUCGAAGUAUACCACACACUUGUAUACCACUUCCCAUGAACUCCGUCCAGUCAAAGGGUACAAACCAGUGUAACUAAACGACCUAAGGAGUAGACACGAACCACUGCAGUCUAAACUCACCGAUAUGGAAUCAAGGAACUAAAUACAAACAGACUACCGACAAACCCUCGAAGCAAGACCUACCUCCUUAGAAGGAGCUGGUGUUUUAUUUUUGAAUUUGGACCUGAGCUACGAACAAAGUUGACUAAAGGGUCUAAAAUAAUACCAGACUAAAAGGAACUUCUUUGAUAUUCAUACGGACAGUAAACCCGGCAAGUAACUAAACGUAAUAACUUCAAAAAUAACGUUCUAACAUCUCAACCCAUCAGUCAGUCGCGACCCUGAACCACUUUCGUUUGCCCGAAGGGACUACCAAAACUGAAGACUAAUCACUAGGACUUCGUAUUACUAUACCAGAAACACCAUCAAAAGUCAAACUUGAACGUAAGUCACCGGAGUAUAGAAACCACGUCGAACCUCAACCAUCACACGUGUAGACUAAGAAAGUUGACAGGACUUCGUAGAAUGAACCAAAGACAAGACGGUAGAAUGACCAAUGCCAUAGAAGAAGUUGAACGUACACCAAACCUACCUUAUACUAGAGUAGAAGACGAACUUAGUUCUUUUACGAUCUUCAGAGUUUGUUCCCAGGCUUUACCUUUAUAGUCAAGCAUGAGUCAAACAUAUCUUCUAAUAGCUUCAAACUAAACUGAUAUUUAAUGGACCAAUGGUAUGACAAAGUCCUUCAAACCAAAACUAUAAACCGACGAACAUAGAAAGCUGAACGUUUAAAUAGUGGGUUAUCCUUCAUUUCUAGCAUACAUGUACUCGAGACUUACGUCAUUUUUACAAUUACGUAUAUAUAUAUAUACUUAACCAGUAUGAACCUAAACAAGAUGUAUGACAACAGGUACUAACGUGAACCAAACAAAUACAUAUAUUAAAAUAUAUAUAUGUGCAACAAAUCCAAGUAGAAUACUGUGUUUUAGUUGAAAACCACACGAGUAUAAAAAAUGAAACCACUAUUUCUUUCUAGGGUGCGAGCGUGAACACAACCAACCGGAGGACAUCAACCCAUACGUCUUUCUCCAAAUCCUCAAUAACGAUAUAUAUGAUUUUGAAACCUAUCAACCUUCAAAGACUCGAACCUUCGAACUUGUUUAUAAAACGGGACUUGUACAAGUGACUUAUACUAAGACGAAACAACCAUACCUCAACUAAAAGUCUUCACUACAAUAAGAGUAACCAUGAAGAGGUCACUCUAGACCUAAGAAGUUACGUAGAAGAGCCAAACCAAUUUAACUGUGGAUCGUCUUGUCAGACCGAUUAAACUACUAAGGACUUGUGUGACCGAUUAAACUCCUACUUAGGACGACUAAUGAAAGUUGUAUACCGUCAAACAAAACAUGAAGUAGGACCUAAAUUUCAGUGUUUCGCGAGUGUGUAGAGAUGCCAGGAGGUUACCGAUUAAACUAGAGAAAUGCGUUUGACGAUUAAACUAGACCUAAUACCUUA